RNAcentral lists this long non-coding RNA (424 nucleotides) under Homo sapiens (human). RNAcentral's name for it is "non-protein coding CYTOR:120". Lineage: Eukaryota; Metazoa; Chordata; Mammalia; Primates; Hominidae. The record is from RNAcentral.
ACACUGACAAAACUACCGAACCAUGUUCCUGGUUGAGGAUACCUGAAGGUCGACAUUUAUCUGGGAUCUUUUGCUGCUGCUUUGGUAUGACUUCUAUCAAGAUAGCUUUCGACGAGAAUAACUGGGAGAUGAAACAGGAAGCUCUAUGACACACUUGAUCGAAUAUGACAGACACCGAAAAUCACGACUCAGCCCCCUCCAGCACCUCUACCUGUUGCCCGCCGAUCACAGCCGGAAUGCAGCUGAAAGAUUCCCUGGGGCCUGGUUCCAACCGCCCACUGUGGACUCUGAGGCCUCUGCAUUUGCGGGUGGUCUGCCUGUGAUAUUUUGGUCAUGGGCUGGUCUGGUCGGUUUCCCAUUUGUCUGGCCAGUCUCUAUGUGUCUUAAUCCCUUGUCCUUCAUUAAAAGCAAAACUAAAGAAAAC